RNAcentral lists this ribosomal RNA (253 nucleotides) under uncultured bacterium. RNAcentral's name for it is "partial 16S ribosomal RNA". It matches the Rfam family "Bacterial small subunit ribosomal RNA", at positions 524 to 776 of the family's 1533-position model. The record is from RNAcentral.
UACGUAGGUGGCAAGCGUUGUUCGGAAUUAUUGGGCGUAAAGGGCGCGUAGGCGGUCUUGUAAGUCAGCUGUGAAAGCCCGGGGCUCAACCCCGGAGGGUCGGCUGAUACUGCAGGACUGGAGUACGGAAGAGGUAGCUGGAAUUCCCGGUGUAGCGGCGAAAUGCGUAGAUAUCGGGAGGAACACCGGUGGCGAAGGCGGGUCUCUGGGCAACAACUGACGCUGAGGAGCGAAAGCGUGGGGAGCGAACAGG